UACCAGAACACGAAGGCGAAGGGCCCUAGAACCUUACGGAUCGCCAGCUAAAGAUUCUGCCACAGUGUCUGUGGGUCCUCUGUACACCGCAGCCCUAAAGAAUGAUGUUCCCUCUGCAUUGGCCUCUGGAGGCAGUGAGCCGUUAAACAAGGACAAUAUGAACGUGGCUGGAGUGGUGGUGGGGGUCAUUUUUGCCACCGGCGGUGCUGUGUUGCUGGUUAUGGCUGGAUGGUUUGUGCUGAAGAGGUUUUGCUGGGCCGGUGCUCUGCCUCGGGCUUUCCACUAAGAGAUCCAUCAACUCGCCAUCUGUUUUGCGUUGAAUGAAGCUUAAUUUGAUAUGCCUAUAAGACGUCCGAUCACAUCACAGCAUCUGCACAAACCAGCAAAGAACCGCUUUGCAUAAUGCCUAUUUUGCAUAUUUUAAUCUAUUUAGACAGCACUGUGUAGUCUAGUCAUCAUGUGCUUGGAAGAAAACUCAAAUGCUUAGUUCUCUCAUGUAAAUGCAAAUACUGCUGUUGACAUAGACAUAGACAUAGACAGUUGAAUAUGUUUUAUACUGUAAGAGGUAUGUAGGCACAGCUGAUUUUUUGAGAGGAACAAACUGUGGAUAAAAUCCUUUUGUAAUAUUUUGAUUACACAUUGCUUCUUCUACACAUUAUCUCAGGGGUUUUCAAACUUUUUGAUGCCAGGACCCUGAUCGAAAGACCCUCUUCUUGAAAUAUAAAGGCAGCUAUAUUUGAUUAUGUAUAAAGAACCAUUUAUAUUGUGUGAGAAAUAUUAAGUUUGAUAUUAUAAAGACGAUGUUGUUUUCUAAAUUAAAUAAUUGACUUUUAGUUUGACUGUAUCAUAAGAAAGUACAUUUUCAAUUAAUAUCUGGAAGGUUUUACUGACUAUUAGAGAUGAAUUUAGAAUAAAAAUGAUAUUUGUAAUUAAAUUAAGAUUUAUUUGUAAAGAGC
RNAcentral lists this long non-coding RNA (956 nucleotides) under Sinocyclocheilus anshuiensis. RNAcentral describes it as "lncRNA (ENSSANG00000038332.1)". The record is from RNAcentral. Lineage: Eukaryota; Metazoa; Chordata; Actinopteri; Cypriniformes; Cyprinidae.